RNAcentral lists this ribosomal RNA (468 nucleotides) under uncultured bacterium. RNAcentral's name for it is "partial 16S ribosomal RNA". It matches the Rfam family "Bacterial small subunit ribosomal RNA", at positions 28 to 507 of the family's 1533-position model. The record is from RNAcentral.
GACGAACGCUGGCGGCGUGCUUAACACAUGCAAGUCGAACGGAAAGGCCCUGCUUUUGUGGGGUGCUCGAGUGGCGAACGGGUGAGUAACACGUGAGUAACCUGCCCUUGACUUUGGGAUAACUUCAGGAAACUGGGGCUAAUACCGGAUAGGAGCUCCUGCUGCAUGGUGGGGGUUGGAAAGUUUCGGCGGUUGGGGAUGGACUCGCGGCUUAUCAGCUUGUUGGUGGGGUAGUGGCUUACCAAGGCUUUGACGGGUAGCCGGCCUGAGAGGGUGACCGGCCAAAUGGGGACUGAGAGACGGCCCAGACCCCUACGGGGGGCAGAAGUGGGGAAUAUUGCACAAGGGGCGGAAGCCGGAGGCAGCAACGCCGCGUGCGGGAUGACGGCCUUCGGGUUGUAAACCGCUUUCGCCGGUGAAGAAGGGGGAGUGACGGUAAUGGGUAAAGAAGCACCGGCUAACUACGUG